RNA transcript from Phyllopteryx taeniolatus (common seadragon), 2426 nucleotides. It is a transcript of the gene named medium-chain acyl-CoA ligase ACSF2, mitochondrial-like, with no coding region annotated. The transcript has 12 exons. The record is from RefSeq and is a predicted model, not a curated record. NCBI's taxonomy places the organism in Eukaryota, Metazoa, Chordata, Actinopteri, Syngnathiformes, Syngnathidae.
UUGGGUUGGUGUUGUUUUUCUCCUCCUCCUCCUCCUCCUCCUCCUCCUUCUUUUUGUUUCCCUGCAGCCAGCAUGAUCGCGAACGUGGCGUCCCGCAGGGUUUUGCUCGGGAAAACUCCUCGUGCACGCGCGUGGGCGCUUGCUGCGACCAGUCGCGCCAUCCACGUGGACGCGCCGCCGAUCGUCCCCACGCUGACCAGCAGUUACGCGCACGGCACGUCGUCCUCCUCGCUGCUCGACGUCACCGUCGGCGACGCGCUCGACCGGGCGGCCGACAGGUGGCCCGACAGGGAGGCCGCCGUCUUCGUACGGGACGGCGUGCGCAAGACCUUCGCCCAAUUUCACCAAGACGUGGAGCGCGCGGCGGCCGGCCUCCUGGGCCUGGGCCUGCGGCGAGGCGAGCGCCUGGGCAUGUGGGGGCCCAACACGUACGAGUGGCUCCUGUUCCAGUUCGCCACGGCCAAGGCGGGCGUCAUCACGGUCUCCGUCAACCCGGCCUAUCAGGUGGAGGAGGCGGAGUUUGCACUGAGGAAGGUGGGUUGUAAAGCGGUGGUGUGUCCCGAGGCAUUCAAGACCCAAAAGUACUGCGACAUGUUGCGGCUCAUCUGUCCUGAGAUUCCGGCGUGCCCGCCCGGAGACAUCCGGAGCAGCCGACUUCCCGACCUUCGCUCCGUGAUCGUCCUGGACGGCCGCCAGCCCGGAAUGUUCCACCUGGACGACGUGAUGCAGGCGGGCGACGAGCGCUUCCUGCGCCAGCUGCACGAGAUCGGCAAGAAAUUGUCGUGCGACGAUCCCGUCAACAUCCAGUUCACCUCGGGAACGACGGGCCGUCCCAAAGGCGCCACCCUGACGCAUCACAACGUGGUCAACAACGCGUUCUUCGUGGGCAAGCGCGUCGGCUUCGACUGGCGGCCCGCCACGCGAGUCUGCCUCCCCGUGCCGCUCUACCACUGCUUCGGCUCGGUAGGGGGCGGCAUCUGUAUGGCCGUCCACGGCCUCUCGCUGGUCUUCCCUUCGCCCGGGUACAGCGGGAAAGACAACCUGGCCGCCAUGCAGAGCGAGAAGUGCACGUUCGUGUACGGCACGCCCACCAUGUACGUGGACAUGACAACCCAGCCCGACGUGCGGCGCUUUGACCUGUCGUCUGUUGUCGGAGGCAUCAUCGCGGGCUCACCGUGCCCCCCUGAGCUGGUUCGGAGCGUCAUGUCCGUCAUGGGCAUCAAGGAAGUGACGGCCCAUGUGGUCCAGGUGGAGCUUCUCCACGUAGCGGCCGAAGCUGCGGAAGGCGCGGUCCGGGAUGCUCUUCAUGGGGUUCCGGCCCAGCGCCAGCUCUUCCACCACGCGCAGUUUGCUCAUGGCGGCGGCGGGAUAGGCAGCCAGCUCGUUGCGGUCCAGGUGAAGCACGGCCAGGUUCUCCACGUCGUCCAGGGACCCGGCGUUGAGCGCGCUCAGCUCGUUGCCGCUGAGGUGCAGCCAGCGCAGGUCCUUGGCGCCGGCGAAGGUGCCGGCACGGAGCCGGCGCAGCUUGUUGUCGUCCAGACGCAGCACGAAAAGGUUGACCAGAGGCGAGAAGAUCCCUUCGGCCAGCUCGCCGAUGCGGUUGCGGUCCAGGUGGAGGUAGGUGAGGCGGGUCAGGUCUCGGAAGGCGUCGGGUUGGAUGCUGCUGAUGUGGUUGUGCGACAGGUAGAGGUAGACCAGCUGGGUCAGGCCCUUGAAGGCGUUGGCGGCGAUGCGGCGCAGCUGGCAGCGCUGCAUGUGCAGCGACACCAGGCCGCCGCUCUCGCCGAAGGCGGCGCUCGGAACGACGCCCAGCGGGUUCCUCUGCAGGUUGAGCAGCCGCGUGGAUUCGGACACGCGCGGGAUCUUCUUCAGGCCCACGCCGUCGCAGAUGACGUGCUGCAGGUCGCCGUGGCAGCGGCACGGGGCCGGGCACCGGCCGGGCGCCCCCCCGGCCAUCAGGACGCUCCCCAACAGCAGCAGGCAGCCGACGCGGCGCAUGUCUCGUCCUCGCGCAGACUGAGCGGGCUGCCGCCGGGCCGCGGGGAAAAGGCGGGUGGGCGGCGGCCAGGCUCCGGGGGGACGUCCCCCCUCGCCGGAACACUCGGGGCUAUUGUUUGGCCGCCGCCCGGGAAAGGUAAACAUGCGGACGCGUCUCGCAGCGGCGUGAGGAGGAAGUCGGUCUGCUGCCGGCUGAGCUUUUGAGCUCAAAUGGCCUCGGCGGGUUCCAAACAUUCCUCUGGCGAGCGCAACGCUUCUGGAAGGAAUGUGGAGUCCACUCGACACUUCGAUCGGCUACGGCGCUACAGAGAACAGUCCCGUCACCUUUUGUGGCUCGCCGCUGGACAACCUGCACAGGAAGUGCGAGACGGUCGGAUACGUCAUGGACCACACUGAGGUUCGUGGCCGCGCCCGCGCCCGCGCCCGCG